AAGACGAACUCCAAGAAGGCGGCACCUUGUCCUCAACUGAGAUGCCAUUCACGCUUCUGGCACCAACUGUAAUUUUCCUCUGGAGAAUCCCUUACCUUCCUCCGCCCAUGUGUUUUCAGGGAACUAGAAGCUACUCUGGGCUCCAGUCUUUUUUUCUUAUUUUUUUUAAGGAUUAUUUAUUUAUUUUUAAAGAUUGGCACCUGGGCUAACAACUGUUGCCAAUCCUUUUAUUUUCUGCUUUAUCUCCCCCAAACCCCCGUACACAGUUGUAUAUCUUUAGUUGCAGGUCCUUCUAGUCGUGGGAUGUGGGAUACCGCCUCAACGUGGCCUGACGAGUGGUGCCAUGUCUGCACCCAGGAUCCAAACCCUGGGCCGCAGCAGCGGAGCGCGUGAACUUAACCACUCGGCCACGGAGCCGGCCCCCGGGCUCCAGUCUUGAAGACUGUGCACACACAGCUCAAACCAAUCAGCACAUUCCAUCUGUCUGGCUGGAAAGAUUGCCUUGUUAUGGGCAUACCGUUGAAGUCGCCUACCGGGAUGAAUGUGAUUCAAUUCUGGGACUUUUAUUUGAGCUUUUCUACAGGAUCUUAAGCCUGAGAGGAUGUUCAGGCUGGAGCUGCUGUUGCCAUCCUACCUCCACGUUAAGUUUAUCAGAAAGGAUGGAAGGCUGAGCCCAGAAAUAGAGAAAAUGGAAUCCUGAUGGGCUCCAAAUCCUGUCAUGUCCAAUUCGGGACAACCAUGGAAUUUUCACUUACAUGGACCUACAAAUAUCGUUCUUAAGGAGCCCCAAAUUGAAUUCUGAUUGAUAAUACAGAGAAGCCAGAGAAGCAUAAGGUGGCAGCACUUCUCAUGGUCCUGUGGCCUCUCCGCAUUUCAGCUUUUCUGAAGGAUCUACCUACAUCUCUUGGAACUAACUCCUUGGUUGGGCCCCUCAUGGUAGAGUUUUGUGAGUGCCAUAUGGCCGCUAUUUGAAGACAGACCAGCUCAAAUAUACCUUUCAAACUGGAAGACAAGCUGGACCACAUCUUCAGCAGCUGUGGGAGAUGACUGACUGCCUAUUCCUUUGAGAGAGUAACCUUUGCUUGCAUUUAUACCAAACUUCCACACCCACGUCAGAACUGGAAUCCUUGAUCCCCCAUUGCCCGGACGAAAGUAAUUAUUGAACUUGUCCACUGAAACCAUCCUCUCAUGCCCAAAUGCAGUCAGUAGCCACAAGAAAAGAAGACAUUGAACUUCAAGAAGUUGGUUUGCAGUCUGGACUUGCAGCUCUAAACUCCACCCACCACAGUGAAAUUUUGGAUGGCAGCUGCUCAGGCAAGUGGGUUGACUGGGCUUUGACCUGGGUUUGUAAAUCAGGUUAACACUCCUGUUGUUACUGCUGCCCAUAGGAAGACAUUUUUUCUGGGAUGCUCUUCACUUAAAACAAACGCCACCCUUUAAACCCAUUAAUAGCUACUUCUAUAAUAGGAGUGAGAAUGAAAAUCUCUGAUUUUGAGAGUGUACAAAGAAGCGGCAGGUUACUCAGCUGCUGGAAGUAAUUGCUAUUUGUAUAUUCAAAAUACUCAAAUGUUCACCUAUAUGCCAUCCGGGACCUCAUUAGAAUAAGUUCGUCUAUUGUUCCUCAAUCAUUUUUCACUGUAACUCUAAAUUGGUUAUUUGAAUUCUUUCAAAGAAUGCUAUGGUUGGAUUACUUGGGGAUCUGGGUAUAAAAUGCAAUCUGUCCAGUGUUUAUAUGUAAUCUUAUCGGACCAUAUCUAACUGAAUGGUAGGAAUUAGAGGUAAUGGAUCAAAUCAAUUAUUUACCCUCCUCCAAAGUAAUAUGAUAAACCAGCAGAACAGUGUGAAAAUAUAGGGAAUUUAGUUAAUGGUGCUUUUGAUUAAGAAGAGAGCAGAAAAAUAAAAAGAAAAUGACAAAAACAACAGAAAAGAAGGCAUGUUUCCAGGAAAUCUUUUUUUCAGUAGUCCAUUUUGAUGUGCCAAAUUUUGGCUGUUUAUAUUCAAUGCAUUGUGACUACUGUUCAAGUCAAUGGUUUAGUAAUUUAAUUGUCAAUUUUGAGAAACAACCAUCAGGUAACACGUGGAGGCUGGUCACACCUGAGCAAGGUGUGUGCACCACGAGGAUCCACCACCCUGAGUGUCCAGGAAGGCCCCGGGAGAUAGAUGCCAGGCAGCAUUCCUCCAGAGAGAGCACUGUGAUCCUUGGGGACUCAUUUCAGGAAAGGCAGCUGCACGUCUCUGUCAGGGAUGUUUGGGCGAAGCCAUAUUUCCUCAGCUUCUCCAAGAGUGGAGGGACCUUUUCCUGAAGAGUCUGACAGGAUUUGUUUGGGCUAAGAGAUCUGAAUCCAGGGCUCCAAGUUGCUUUUUAGAUUUUAAGAAGCAUGAUUUUCAAAUGCCUACCAUGGAGUUCCUUCUCAGACAUCUCUGUAGUGACACAUUUAUGAGCACAGAGUAGGCAUUUAUUAGUGGUCUGUUGUUUACUGAACAGUAGUAAUGCAACGCAUUAAGGAAUUGUAUAUGGAAGGUUAAGGAACUGUACCUGGAAGGUGAGAAAAAUGGAAUGUUGGAAAAACAAAACAUUUCUUUGAAUGGCCACCAUAUGGAAGGAUCUAGAUGGGAAUUCAUCUAGUGAAGGGCAGCCAGGUUGUUGUUAUGUCCCCUUCCUUUCCUUUCUGUUGAGUUUCUCAGGAAAGAAAUUUAAGAGGGAGGAACAAGUGUAGAGAUCCAGGAAGUGUGAUGGGCUAUGGGUGGGGUGGGAGACAGAUGAAGGAAGCAACUGACUUAUGGAAUGCCCUUGCAUUUUAUUUCUUGUCUUCCUAGGAUUGGUUUCCUUCACAUUUGUGUAUGUGGGGUUCAGAUUAUGUCUCAGAGCUCUCAGGAGGAUUUGAUCAGACAAACUUACCCUUAACUCCAGUAUUGGGGAAUGGUGCUGGAUUUCCCAUUUGCUGACUUUUUAAGAUCACUCUUCUUUCUUUCUUUAUGCACAUUAUGAAAAAUUUAAAAAACAUAGGGAACAGGAAAAAAAGAAUUCUUGCAAUUCCAUUAUUCAAAGUAAGCCUUUGUUAAUGGUUGUGUCCCUUUUUCCAGUCUGUGUUUUUUCCAUAUAUAUGUAGAGCAUAGGGUCAGGACUAUAAUAUCUUUGGAGUCAGGAGGGUCUCAACUCAAGUACCUGUUCUCUCUACCAGCUGUGUGAACCUGAUAAGUAACUUAGCUUGGCUGAGUCUUUUACAUGGACUGAAUAUAAAAAUACCUAUAUUAGAUGGUGACUGUAAGAAUUAAAUGAGCUUAUGUGUGAAAGUUACUUAUGUUUUAGCUAACAUUAAUAUGGUAGCUAAUGUUAACACUAUUAGAAUUGUGAUAAUAUAGGAUACAUGCCAUUUCUUGCUUUUUCCACUGAACAUUAUAACCUGUUUUCUAGCUUAUUAUAAACUCAAUACAAUCAUUUUUUGCAAGUACAUAAUAUUUUAUUGCAUAUUUUACCAAAUUAUCAUAUUUUAGCACAUGUAAUUUCCUUUAAAUUGUGUACUAUUUUAGGAAUUUUUUUAUUCUAGAAAAUAUCAUCAAAAAGUAGAGGAUAGCAGUAGAGAUAAUAGGAAAAUUAUAUGAAAGGAGAGAAAAGAAGAAAAUAAAGAAUUCAAUCUGCUACUACAUGCAGUCUAAAACACACAAAAACUUUUCAAAUUUAAUAACUUAUUUUCACAUCUUGUAUUUUUAUUCAUGGAAAAUUAUUGCAAAUUAACGGAAUGGCAAGUUGGUUGUAAAAACCUCAUCAUGGUUGGUGAGAAAGAAUGCUUGCUAGCAAUCGAUGAAAAAGCAAAUAGUUUUGGAAGUACUUUAGUUGGAAGCAGUCAAAAUGAAACCAUAAAUCUUUGGAUUGAAGCUCCUCCUUAUUGUUGUCCUCGAGAACCAUAUACUUCUGCCAGAGAUCCAUCGUCCACGCCCCUGUCCCAUGUUGCUCACUUCUGAAUCCGUGCCACACAGGUGCAUUCCAUUUGGAGAAGCUAAAUCCCAAGGAAGAAAGUAGUCCCUAGACACAAAGUAGUCUGGGAUUGCAAAUUUUCUGGGCUAAUUGCAUAAAAAAUUACCACAGUGUUGGCAGAUGGUAUAAAGUUAUUUUACACCUGUUAAAGGUAAUGAAUGUCCACCAUUAGGUUUUUGGGAGGAGGGUAUUAGCUAAUGAUAAACAUCUUUUCACUUUCUGAUAUGAGGGAAACCCACAAUGUCACCUCUUGGGUUUACGGUGGCGAAGAAAAGUCUUUUACCGCCUUUGUGGUCUCUACGAAAUGUCUGGACUCUUGAUGUUGGGACAACCAGGGUAAUGAAGUUUUGUAUGUUGAAGGACCCCAAAUAGAGGAGCUUGUGCCAAUAGGGGAGCUUAAAUUUAAUUUGAUAGAUAUUUAGUGAGUACCUAUUUAUGUGCCAGGACUUAUAGAGGGAUUGAUCAUCCUUUAAUCUUCCUAAUUUCAUACUCUUCAUGCCUCUGUUGCCAACCAGCCUUCUAGAUCUGCAGUAACAACUGCCAAAUCUUAGUGACUUGCAACCACACAGGUUGAUUUCUUACUCACCAACAUGGGACCUAGGCUGAAGAAUGACCUCUAUUGGAACCUUGUGGGUUUGAGGCCCAAAGUGAAGAAUUGUGGUGGAACCAUGCGAUGGCUAUUUAAGCUUUUGCUGAGAACUUGUCCACAUCACUUCUGCUCACAUUCAUUAGUCAGCACAGGCAUAAUUGCCAAGUCUGAUAUCAAUGGUGUGGGGAUAUAUAAUCCUUUCUCAGGGAGUGGUAUUGAAAAAUUGAGAAUAAUAAUGUAAUUUGCCGCAUUACGUGUCAGGUUGGCAUCCUCCUCUGGAGUAACUGUGGCUCUUUUUUCAGAGCUGACUCCCAGAACUAAACAUGAAUAUUCCUUGUGUGGUCUGGCCAGUACAACAUACAGAGGUGCUAUAUAACCCUUUCCUCAGUCCUAAUAUUAAGCUUUUAUAAUAAAGCCUAACAUUGUAGUAGAUUUUGUUUAUUUUUAGUGGCCAUAUCACACUGUUAUGACCCAUCGAGACUGCUGUCAUCUGAAACCUUGGGUCUUUCCCAUUCCCACAUAUUUGUGCUCCAUCCUAUGCUGCCCCUCUUCUGUCCUUUGAUGUUAACCCCAAUUUGGACCAUAUAUCAGGAGUAAGCUAGUGGCUUCACACAUCAAGCAACUUUACAGAGAGGAAACAUUUCCCCGCUUGUGUGAUUUCCUCAAAGAUCCUUCAGAAUCCCUCUAUCUCACCUGUUAUGGAUUGAAUUGUAUCCUCCUAAAUUCCUGUGUUGAAGCUCUAACCCCUAAUGUGACUGAAUUUGGAGAUAGAGCCUUUAAAGAGGUAACUAAGGUUAAGUGAGGUCACAAAGAUGGAGCUCUAAUCCGAUAGGACUGCUGUCCUUAUACGAAGAGGAAGAGACGCCACGGGUCUGGAAGCACAGAGAAAGGCUAUGCGAGGACACGGUGAGAAGGCAGCCUCAGCAGAAAGCAAUCCUGCAAGAACCUUGAUCUUGAACUUCUGACCUCCAGAACUGUGAGAACUGAAAAGGAGUUGUAUCACCCAGGGCCGGAGCUACAAGCUGUUCCCUGGCCCCCUCAGCUACUUCAAACACAGUCAGACCGAGUGCUCCACACUGUUGUAGAAGCUACGUCUCAUUUGCUGUCGGCACCAUGUGCCGCUAGAAUUGUUCAAGUGUCUGAACUGCUUUAUCCUUCUCCAUGACUGUCAGAAAAGGAAUGGAGGGUUGUUCUCAGGAGUCUCUGAGAUGCUUCCCGCUGCUGUUUACUCGUCCUGAUUCAGACUUGAAAACUUCUUUUAAGUGGAUCAAAGACAUACAGUUUGGAAUUUGAAAUGCA
This 5864-nucleotide long non-coding RNA is filed under the name Equus caballus (horse). RNAcentral describes it as "lncRNA (ENSECAG00000033608.3)". Lineage: Eukaryota; Metazoa; Chordata; Mammalia; Perissodactyla; Equidae. The record is from RNAcentral.